CCGCCUGGGGAGUACGGCCGCAAGGUUAAAACUCAAAUGAAUUGACGGGGGCCCGCACAAGCGGUGGAGCAUGUGGUUUAAUUCGAUGCAACGCGAAGAACCUUACCUGGUCUUGACAUCCACAGAAGAAUCCAGAGAUGGAUUUGUGCCUUCGGGAACUGUGAGACAGGUGCUGCAUGGCUGUCGUCAGCUCGUGUUGUGAAAUGUUGGGUUAAGUCCCGCAACGAGCGCAACCCUUAUCCUUUGUUGCCAGCGGUUAGGUCGGGAACUCAAAGGAGACUGCCAGUGAUAAACUGGAGGAAGGUGGGGAUGACGUCAAGUCAUCAUGGCCCUUACGACCAGGGCUACACACGUGCUACAAUGGCGCAUACAAAGAGAAGCGACCUCGCGAGAGCAAGCGGACCUCAUAAAGUGCGUCGUAGUCCGGAUUGGAGUCUGCAACUCGACUCCAUGAAGUCGGAAUCGCUAGUAAUCGUGGAUCAGAAUGCCACGGUGAAUACGUUCCCGGGCCUUGUACACACCGCCCGUCACACCAUGGGAGUGGGUUGCAAAAGAAGUAGGUAGCUUAACCUUCGGGAGGGCGCUUACCACUUUGUGAUUCAUGACUGGGGUGAAGUCGUAACAAGGUAACCGUAGGGGAACCUGCGGUUGGAUCACCUCCUUACCUUAAAGAAGC
This 676-nucleotide ribosomal RNA is filed under the name Salmonella enterica subsp. enterica serovar London. RNAcentral describes it as "bacterial SSU rRNA". It matches the Rfam family "Bacterial small subunit ribosomal RNA", at positions 869 to 1533 of the family's 1533-position model. Lineage: Bacteria; Pseudomonadati; Pseudomonadota; Gammaproteobacteria; Enterobacterales; Enterobacteriaceae. The record is from RNAcentral.